AACGCACCUUGCGCUCCUUGGUAUUCCGAGGAGCAUGCCUGUUUGAGUGUCUCGAAAUCAUCAACCCCUACCGCUUUUGCGGGAAGAGUUGGAGCUGGGGCGUGCUGCCGUCACAAGCGGCUCCCCCGAAAUGCAUCGGUUUGGCCUGUGGGUCGGACUCGACUGGGCGUUGUAUCAUCCUCGCUCUACCGAGAAGUUCCCCUAUCGUGCCGCAACCCCGACCUGCCUAUCGAGCGGCGGUCACUUUACUUUGAAAUCUGACCUCAAAUCAGGUAGGACUACCCGCUGAACUUAA
This 295-nucleotide unclassified non-coding RNA is filed under the name Hygrocybe sp. RNAcentral's name for it is "partial contains 5.8S ribosomal RNA, internal transcribed spacer 2, and large subunit ribosomal RNA". The stretch from base 1 to 52 matches the Rfam family "5.8S ribosomal RNA", at positions 103 to 154 of the family's 154-position model. The record is from RNAcentral. Lineage: Eukaryota; Fungi; Basidiomycota; Agaricomycetes; Agaricales; Hygrophoraceae. RNAcentral also lists the same sequence under 2 other names.